Molecule: ribosomal RNA, 253 nt
Filed under: uncultured bacterium
Lineage: Bacteria
Description: partial 16S ribosomal RNA
Rfam family: Bacterial small subunit ribosomal RNA
Source: RNAcentral
UACGUAGGUGACAAGCGUUGUCCGGAUUUACUGGGCGUAAAGAGCGCGCAGGCGGUCGAUCAAGUCGCGUGUGAAAGCCCCCGGCUCAACUGGGGAGGGUCACGCGAUACUGAUCGACUGGAAGGCAGGAGAGGGUAGUGGAAUUCCCGGUGUAGUGGUGAAAUGCGUAGAUAUCGGGAGGAACACCAGUGGCGAAGGCGACUACCUGGCCUGUUCUUGACGCUGAGGCGCGAAAGCUAGGGGAGCAAACAGG